AACGAACGCUGGCGGCAUGCCUAACACAUGCAAGUCGAACGAGACCUUCUGGUCUAGUGUCGCACGGGUGCGUAACGCGUGGGAACCUGCCCUUAGGUUCGGAAUAACUCCCCGCAAGGGGUUCUAAUACCGGAUAAUGUCUUCGGACCAAAGAUUUAUCGCCUUUGGAUGGGCCCGCGUUGGAUUAGCUAGUUGGUAGGGUAAAAGCCUACCAAGGCGACGAUCCAUAGCUGGUCUGAGAGGAUGAUCAGCCACACUGGGACUGAGACACGGCCCAGACUCCUACGGGAGGCAGCAGUGGGGAAUAUUGGACAAUGGGCGAAAGCCUGAUCAAGCAAUGCCGCGUGAGUGAUGAAGGCCUUAGGGUUGUAAAGCUCUUUUACCCGGGAUGAUAAUGACAGUACCGGGAGAAUAAGCUCCGGCUAACUCCGUG
RNAcentral lists this ribosomal RNA (433 nucleotides) under uncultured bacterium. RNAcentral's name for it is "partial 16S ribosomal RNA". It matches the Rfam family "Bacterial small subunit ribosomal RNA", at positions 29 to 507 of the family's 1533-position model. The record is from RNAcentral.